RNAcentral lists this ribosomal RNA (253 nucleotides) under uncultured bacterium. RNAcentral describes it as "partial 16S ribosomal RNA". It matches the Rfam family "Bacterial small subunit ribosomal RNA", at positions 524 to 776 of the family's 1533-position model. The record is from RNAcentral.
UACGUAGGGUGCAGGCGUUAAUCGGAAUUACUGGGCGUAAAGCGUGCGCAGGCAGUUUGCUAAGACAGGUGUGAAAUCCCCGGGCUUAACCUGGGAACUGCGCUUGUAACUGGCAAGCUAGAGUGUGGCAGAGGGGGGUGGAAUUCCACGUGUAGCAGUGAAAUGCGUAGAGAUGUGGAGGAACACCGAUGGCGAAGGCAGCCCCCUGGGCUAACACUGACGCUCAUGCACGAAAGCGUGGGGAGCAAACAGG